RNAcentral lists this ribosomal RNA (403 nucleotides) under bacterium. Its description in RNAcentral is "partial 16S ribosomal RNA". It matches the Rfam family "Bacterial small subunit ribosomal RNA", at positions 355 to 776 of the family's 1533-position model. The record is from RNAcentral.
UGGGGAAUAUUGCACAAUGGGGGAAACCCUGAUGCAGCGACGCCGCGUGAACGAAGAAGGUAUUCGUAUCGUAAAGUUCUGUCCUAUGGGAAGAUAAUGACAGUACCAUAGAAGAAAGCUCCGGCUAAAUACGUGCCAGCAGCCGCGGUAAUACGUAUGGAGCGAGCGUUGUCCGGAAUUAUUGGGCGUAAAGGGUACGCAGGCGGUUUAAAAAGUCGAAUGUUAAAGAUCGGGGCUCAACCCCGCAAAGCAUUGGAAACUGAUAAACUUGAGUAGUGGAGAGGAAAGUGGAAUUCCUAGUGUAGUGGUGAAAUACGUAGAUAUUAGGAGGAAUACCAGUAGCGAAGGCGACUUUCUGGACACAAACUGACGCUGAGGUACGAAAGCGUGGGGAGCAAACAGG